UGCAAACGUUUCUUUCCCAUU
Molecule: non-coding RNA, 21 nt
Filed under: Caenorhabditis elegans
Lineage: Eukaryota; Metazoa; Nematoda; Chromadorea; Rhabditida; Rhabditidae
Source: RNAcentral